Molecule: ribosomal RNA, 1066 nt
Filed under: Phocaeicola plebeius
Lineage: Bacteria; Pseudomonadati; Bacteroidota; Bacteroidia; Bacteroidales; Bacteroidaceae
Description: bacterial SSU rRNA
Rfam family: Bacterial small subunit ribosomal RNA
Source: RNAcentral
CCACGUGUGGGAGCUUGUAUGUACCUUAUGAAUAAGCAUCGGCUAACUCCGUGCCAGCAGCCGCGGUAAUACGGAGGAUGCGAGCGUUAUCCGGAUUUAUUGGGUUUAAAGGGAGCGCAGACGGGUCGUUAAGUCAGCUGUGAAAGUUUGGGGCUCAACCUUAAAAUUGCAGUUGAUACUGGCGUCCUUGAGUGCGGUUGAGGUGUGCGGAAUUCGUGGUGUAGCGGUGAAAUGCUUAGAUAUCACGAAGAACUCCGAUUGCGAAGGCAGCACACUAAGCCGUAACUGACGUUCAUGCUCGAAAGUGUGGGUAUCAAACAGGAUUAGAUACCCUGGUAGUCCACACGGUAAACGAUGGAUACUCGCUGUUGGCGAUAUACGGUCAGCGGCUUAGCGAAAGCGUUAAGUAUCCCACCUGGGGAGUACGCCGGCAACGGUGAAACUCAAAGGAAUUGACGGGGGCCCGCACAAGCGGAGGAACAUGUGGUUUAAUUCGAUGAUACGCGAGGAACCUUACCCGGGCUUAAAUUGCAAAGGAAUUGCGUGGAAACAUGCAAGUCUUCGGACCUUUGUGAAGGUGCUGCAUGGUUGUCGUCAGCUCGUGCCGUGAGGUGUCGGCUUAAGUGCCAUAACGAGCGCAACCCUCGCCGCCAGUUACUAACAGUUAAAGCUGAGGACUCUGGCGGGACUGCCAUCGUAAGAUGUGAGGAAGGUGGGGAUGACGUCAAAUCAGCACGGCCCUUACGUCCGGGGCUACACACGUGUUACAAUGGGCGGUACAGAAGGCAGCUACCUGGCGACAGGAUGCCAAUCCCUAAAGCCGCUCUCAGUUCGGACUGGAGUCUGCAACCCGACUCCACGAAGCUGGAUUCGCUAGUAAUCGCGCAUCAGCCACGGCGCGGUGAAUACGUUCCCGGGCCUUGUACACACCGCCCGUCAAGCCAUGAAAGCCGGGGGUACCUGAAGUGCGUAACCGCAAGGAGCGCCCUAGGGUAAAACCGGUAAUUGGGGCUAAGUCGUAACAAGGUAGCCGUACCGGAAGGUGCGGCUGGAACACCUCCUUUCU